Molecule: ribosomal RNA, 465 nt
Filed under: uncultured bacterium
Lineage: Bacteria
Description: partial 16S ribosomal RNA
Rfam family: Bacterial small subunit ribosomal RNA
Source: RNAcentral
GACGAACGCUGGCGGCGUGCUUAACACAUGCAAGUCGAACGGAAAGGCGCCUUUGGGGGUCCUCGAGUGGCGAACGGGUGAGUAACAAGUGCGUAACCUGCCCUUGACUUCGGGGUAACAUCAGGACAAAGGGGCGAAUACUGGCUAGGAAUCCUUGCUGAAGAGUGGGGGUUGGAAAGCUUCCGCGGUGUUGGAUGGAGUCGUGGCUUAUCGGCUUGUUGGGGGGGUAGUGGCUUACACAGGCUUUGACGGGAAGCCGGCCUGAGAGAGCGACAGGCGACAUGGGGACUUAGAGACGGCCCAGACUCCGACGUGAGGCAGAAGUGGGGAAUAUUGCUCAAGGGGCGGAGGCCGGAUGCAGCAGCGCCGCGGGCGGGAUAACGGCCUUCGGGGUGUAGACCGCUUUCAGCAUGGGCGGAGCUGGUGGUGACGGUACCGGCAGAAGAAGCACCGGCUAACUACGUG